Long non-coding RNA from Salvelinus fontinalis (brook trout), 2954 nucleotides. RefSeq lists it as uncharacterized. The transcript is spliced from 2 exons. The record is from RefSeq and is a predicted model, not a curated record. NCBI's taxonomy places the organism in Eukaryota, Metazoa, Chordata, Actinopteri, Salmoniformes, Salmonidae.
UGGCAGGUAGCUUAGCCCCAGUGAUGUACUGGGCCGUACGCACUACCCUCUGUAGUGCCUUGUGGUCGGGGGCCGAGGAAUUGCCGUACCAGGCAGUGAUGCAACCAGUCAGGAUGCUCUCGAUGUUGCAGCUGUAGAACCUUUUGAUGAUCUCAGGACCCAUGCAAAAUCUUUUUAGUUUCCUGAGGGGGAAUAGGCUUUGUUGUGCUCUCUUCACGACUGUCUUGGUGUGUUUGGACCAUUCUAGUUUGUUGGUGAUGUGUACACCAAGGAACUUGAAGCUCUCAACCUACUCCACUACAGCCCCGUCGAUGAGAAUGGGGGCGUGCUUGGUCCUCCUUUUCCUGUAGUCCACAAUUUCCUUAGUCUUGGUUACGUUGAGGGAUAGGUUGUUAUUCUGGCACCACCCGGCCAGGUCUCUGACCUCCUCCCUAUAGGCUGUCUCGUCGUUGAUCAGGCCUACCACUGUUGUGUCGUCUGCAAAUUUAAUGAUGGUGUUGGAGUCGUACCUGGCCAUGCAGCUGUGAGUGAGUUAUAGAUUGGUAAUUCCUAUUGAAAGCAAGUCUGAUAUGCGGCAGAUCUGUUCUAUGUGUGAUAUUUCUAUGCUUCUUUAAGUUUAGCUUUUGCAUCUUUUUACUUUCGGUUUUGUACACCAGCUUCAAACAGCUUAAAAUACAAUAUUUUGGGUUAUUGAAAUAUAUUUCACAGCAGUUUAUAUUUUACAAUGAUUCUCUACACAAUACAUUGCUUGUUUUGUCACGUAAACUGAAAUUAGAUGAACAUGAUAACAUUUUAGCAACCAGAAAAUGGCUGAGCGACUUCUAUCUAUUGUACCUUGUGUUAUUGGUCAUGUUCCCCUGCUCCUACAUUGCUAACGAAUGCCAGAGCUUACAAUGCCUGGAUAGGUAUUUUACAUAUCAGCAUCAAAUCUCUAUUUUGUUAUAUAAGAGUCCAGACACCUUUUUGUGAUUUCACAUGUUUUUGAGAAACUUAUCCCAAGCAGCAAAUCACUUCCUCGUCCUCGUUCUCGUUGUGUAAAAUGUGGCCCACAAUUUUUAACAAAGGCUCCAAAAACCAACGAAAAUAUGUCCUUUUAGAAACAGCAAAGUUCGUAUAGUGAUGCAGGUCUUUAGAUGUUGUAUACAUGAAAUUGUGUCAUUCCAAACUUUAUCCGCAACGUUUUAUUACAUGUUGUUGCCACUCUAGCGAUACCUCUCCAUCCAUUCUACAGGUAACUGCCAAACACUUGAGAAAAUGAGGGAUACAAAGUAUAUUAAAAGCAUGGAGUGCUUCCACACAGGAAGUUCCAGAAGCUUGUAGAAGUGGUGUUUCCUUUAUUUUGGCAGUUACCUGUAGCAAUAUUUUACAAUGACAAUGGAACAGCUGGAUAGGGGAAAUGGCUUGAGUCGCGCAAACGGGAAUAUAACAUUGCAGAUAAAGUUCGGAAUGAUACAAUUUCAUGUGCACAAUAUCUGAAGACCUGCAUUUGGGAUCGCGAGUGGCGCAGUGGUCUAACGCUUCGAACACACCGACUGUGUCAUUGCAUCACUGCUGCAUUACAUUUUGCGCAGCUAGGCAACUAUACUGAUGCAGGUACCUUUUGCAAAUGGUCGCAUGCGGUUGGACACAUGGAGGAGAGAAUCAUUUUCGCAGUAUCCUCAAAACCGUGUCUUUUUGACACAACUGCUGACAGCUACAGGGACAUAAACACAAAAAAUGCUGCUUGGAGACAAGUGUCCACGAUAGUAGGAUUGCCAGGUCAGUUUAGUAGUGAGCUUGUGCUAGAUGUGGCUAGUUAGCGUUAGCUAGCUUUCGGCGGGGCUGGUCCCGGCCCAACAGCGCGCUCAAGACCACCUUCCUCAACGUUGGUCUCAUUGUUGAAAGAGCCUACUCUGCCUAUCUUGACUAUUUAUUAUUGCAUUUCGCUCCAAAACUGCAUUUUGGAGGGAAAUUAUAUUACAGGCUCUCACAAUUAAUUUGAGGAUGUCAUCGAAUAAAUAAUAUACUUGGCAAAUAAAUAAAUAAAAAAUGUAAAGAAAUUAUGCAAUCAAACUGUUUUUAUGUAAUCCCACCUUUUUACUGAAUAUGUGCAAAAAAAUAAUAAUCUACAUUCAUAUUUUGCUACUUUCUGUCAAGUCCACUCAUACAAUUUGAUGCAUACGUUCGAUUUAUCGAACGUAUGCACCACACAGAACGCACUGCAACUGCCUCUGCAACGCAAUGCUGCAAGGCAAAUGCAGCGUUCCAUUGGAAAUGAAUGUACUUCUGGUGUAUCGAAACGCAAUGUCACAGUCGGUGUGUUCGAAGCGUUACUAAGGUACUGCAUCUCUAUGCAAGAGGCAUCACUACAGUCCCUGUUUCAAAUCCAGGCAGUAUCACAUCCUGCAGUGAUUUGGAGUCCCAUAGGGUGGCGCACAAUUGGCCCGGGGUAGGCCGUCAUUGUAAAUACGAUUUUUUUCGUAACUGUCUUGCCUUGUUAACAUGAAGAAAAAAAACACUAUACUGAGAGCUUUGCCAUUUCUAAAAGGAUGUAUGUGGGUAUUCUUGGUGCCUUUGUUCAUGUUGUUUUCUAGACCCCAUACUACUCAAAUGACGACGAUGAAGUGAUUUGCUAUUUGGGUCUCCUCCAUCUCCACUAACUGAAACUAAUGGAGUCCUGGAGUGGCCUAGCCACUCUCCAGACCUUAAUCCCAUAGAAAAUCUGUGGAGGGAGCUGAAGGUUCGAGUUGCCAAACGUCAGCCUCGAAACCUUAAUGACUUGGAGAAGAUCUGCAAAGAGGAGUGGGACAAAAUCCCUCCUGAGAUGUGUGCAAACCUGGUGGCCAACUACAAGAAACGUCUGACCUCUGUGAUUGCCAACAAGGGUUUUGUCACCAAGUACUAAGUCAUGUUUUGCAGAGGGGUCAAAUACUUAUUUCCCUCAUUAAAAUGCAAAUAAAUUUAUAACAUUUUUA